This 551-nucleotide ribosomal RNA is filed under the name Anaplasma bovis. Its description in RNAcentral is "bacterial SSU rRNA". It matches the Rfam family "Bacterial small subunit ribosomal RNA", at positions 71 to 654 of the family's 1533-position model. The record is from RNAcentral. Lineage: Bacteria; Pseudomonadati; Pseudomonadota; Alphaproteobacteria; Rickettsiales; Anaplasmataceae.
UCUCGUAGCUUGCUAUGAGAACAAUUAGUGGCAGACGGGUGAGUAAUGCAUAGGAAUCUACCUAGUAGUAUAGGAUAGCCACUAGAAAUGGUGGGUAAUACUGUAUAAUCCCUGCGGGGGAAAGAUUUAUCGCUACAUGAUGAGCCUAUGUUAGAUUAGCUAGUUGGUGGGGUAAUGGCCUACCAAGGCAGUGAUCUAUAGCUGGUCUGAGAGGAUGAUCAGCCACACUGGAACUGAGACACGGUCCAGACUCCUACGGGAGGCAGCAGUGGGGAAUAUUGGACAAUGGGCGCAAGCCUGAUCCAGCUAUGCCGCGUGAGUGAGGAAGGCCUUAGGGUUGUAAAACUCUUUCAGUGGGGAAGAUAAUGACGGUACCCACAGAAGAAGUCCCGGCAAACUCCGUGCCAGCAGCCGCGGUAAUACGGAGGGGGCAAGCGUUGUUCGGAAUUAUUGGGCGUAAAGGGCAUGUAGGUGGUUUGGUAAGUUAAAGGUGAAAUGCCAGGGCUUAACCCUGGAGCUGCUUUUAAUACUGCCAGACUGGAGUCCGGGAG